CCAAUCAGGAAACUUGGGUAUGAGAGGGAAUGAAGGGGCGGGGUGGGAUCUCAGUCAAGCCGGGACUGGAGCGGCGACAAUUUUGGCUUGUCUGAGAAGGGCAUUCGAGUGACCGUUGACAACGGGUGAGACAGCGUCAAGGCUGAAGAAAGAACCUUAACUAUAUGCUUCCAGGACUUCUAGCUAGUUAAUAUUUAAAUAUUUCCCACCAUUCCAUGAGACAUAGGAGCAGAAGUUUUACUUUUACUUCUUCAGAAUCUUCUCUGUGCCCCCAAAGGCUGACAUCUAGGAGUUGGUUCAAGAGAUGACCUGUCCUCUGACUACUGGAUGAAAGUCCAACAGAAAGCUUCUGCAAUAGAAAAGUAAAGAUGACAGAGCAGGCAGAGCCGUGAAGAACCAUUCCCAGGGAGCGCAGACCUAAUCAAGAAACAUGGUGUAUCCCUGGAGACAGAGGAAAUGGAUACAAUGAUGAGUCAGCAGUCUACAACCCAGAAGAGGUUCCUCACCAGAACCGAAUUAUGGUGGUACCAUGAUUUUAGACUUCCAGCCUUGAGAAUUCCGAAAGCCCGACUCAGACUGAAACAUAGGCUCUUCCUGGGACUCUGGCCUGCCUGCCUUCACACCGGAAUGACGCUGUCCAGUCUCCUGGAUCUCAACCUUGCCAGCUUACCCUGUAGACACUGGAAUUGUCAGUCUCUAUAAUCACUCAAGUCAAUUCCUUAUAAUCUCUCUUUCUCUUCCUCUCUUCCUCUCUCUCUCUCACAUAUGUCUAUAAAUCACCCUAUUGAUUUUGGAGGACUCUAAU
Molecule: long non-coding RNA, 805 nt
Organism: Suricata suricatta (meerkat)
Lineage: Eukaryota; Metazoa; Chordata; Mammalia; Carnivora; Herpestidae
Exons: 6
Source: RefSeq, a predicted model, not a curated record